GCUCAUUAGCAGACCUCACCAACAGCAGAUGACACUUCAGCUAACCUGAGAGUCAGUCUGGAGGCAGUGCAGGAGCCAUCAGGACCACGCCAUGCACUGAGUAAUUUCCCUUUCAGAAAGCUUUAACAACAGCCCUCUGCCUCUGGAUUCUGCCCACUGUUGCCAAGCAUGGAGCACCUCGAAGGAGGCCAGGAGAGGAGUAAGAUCUGCUCACCAGGCGUGCAAGAAAGGAGCAGAGUUGAGGCCUCUGCCAUCUACUGCUAGCAGUCCCUGAAGAAUUAACUCGACGAGUCCAUCCUCUGUCCAUGCAACUGUUCCCAUAGUUUCAAACAAGCAGUCUUACGUGAGUGCAAAAAUUUGACUCCAAAUUUUGUUUUUAUUAAUAUUAUUCAUUAUUUGAGGAAUUUUUGUGUGUUACCACUUGAUGAUAGACAGAAAAACACGGGCAAGUAAAAUCAUUUAAUGUUCCUAUAGUGCUUUUUGCUACACCUCAUUUGGUUGCAGGGAUUUCACAUGGAUGAGAAGAGGAUGCACAGUAUGUGUAAGUCCUGAGAGGGGCUGGGAAGGAGGCUAUCUUAGAGGGUUGCUGCUCAUCCUGUUGUCUUCAGCACUGCAGUGCUGCAGUCAGGGCUGUGUGUGGAAGUCAGACCGUGCCCUGGCCCCUCAGCAGCCCGGGGCUGUGCACAGUCUCUGUGGAGGAGCGAAAACCAGCUGGAGCGACCUGGUACCCUGGAAGAGAAGAUCCAGGAGUAUGUUUCCAGCUGGAUGGCAGGUACAGAGGAGUACUGAGCUCAAAUGCUGCUUUUUCAGUGUUUUGUUAGGACAACAUGCACUCACCCCGUGUCUCUGA
RNAcentral lists this long non-coding RNA (850 nucleotides) under Coturnix japonica (Japanese quail). RNAcentral's name for it is "lncRNA (ENSCJPG00005000399.1)". The record is from RNAcentral. Lineage: Eukaryota; Metazoa; Chordata; Aves; Galliformes; Phasianidae.